AAUGACUUGAUUGGAUAGAUUAGAGGGGUAUAUAUAAAGGGACUCUAGAUUAGAGCUCAAUUCGUUCCAACCAACCCACAACUUCAACUACUUCACACCUCAGAUGUGUCACUGACUUAUGACAAGUCAGACUGACUGUUUUAUAUUCAUUAAAAAUAGAAGUAAGAUCUCGCAAAUAGUGUUCUAAUCCUUUGAGCAGCGGUGCCCGCCAAAUUCUCCAGAAAGGGUCUUAAGUAUAAGCUGGUAUAUUAUACCUCUUUUGGAAAAUGUUUACAGGUUCUAUGUUUGUGACCUUUGCCACCUGCACCCGUCAGAAAGUGCUAUUCCGAUUCUUUGCACCAGCAUUAACAGUCGAACUAAGCACAUUUAUUGCUCCGCCUUCGAUCAGUAAACUUAGAAGUGAUUCAACUUUCUUCCAAUUAGAUUCAUUCAUAUUAACUGAAAAUCAGCAUCCCCUUCCUUCAGCAGACUUGACAGUUUGUCAUAAUGGAAGCACUCCGCCAAAAACUUACAAAAAUGAAGGAGGAAGGUCUACAGCCACAGCUGCAAAACAAAGGAAAGGUUCCUCUUCUUAAAGGAAUACCAGCGUUCAAGAGCCCAACAAAGAAAGCUCCAAAAGCUCAAAGAGCUCAAAGAAGUUGAACUUCUUAAAUUAGCCAGAGAGGUUUGCCAAGGUAGGCAUUUGGAAAUUAAACUGGAAAAGUGUGAUCAUAAAAAACGUAACUUCAGACAACGCAACAAAGAUCAACAUUUUCAUGAAUCCUUGUCUGACGACUCAAGUGACAUCAGUGAACCUGAAGAAGGCUCUGUCGAUAGUGACUACGAACCUUCGGACUCUGAAGAUGAUGCUGGUUUCGAGAAGGAGGUCGAAAGAUCCGGCAGUUCUGAUACUGACUGCGUAGCUUCGAGCUCUGAAGAUGAUGAAGGUCUCGAAAAGGAGGUUCAAUCUAAAAUCAAUAGUAGUAAUAAGUGGGCUCAACCUGUUCUAGUAUUGCAACGAUGUCAGAAUCCUCGUCUAAGCUUGACCCAGUCAGCAGAAAAAGUAGGGAAAGCAAAAGUUGGAGCGUACUUAAAUGACUUUAAAAAAAUUCCCUUGGUUAUCCUUGAAAGAAAUGAUUGGUGUGGAAAGGGAAAUUCAUUUUACACUCACAAUUAGGAAAUGAAAAUAAGGAUAAACUGCCUGGUAGGCGAAAAAGCAAUUGUGAAACGCGGUUUCGCACAAUUAAGAAUCAGAAAAACUUUAGCAUUGAAAAUUAUCCACCUACUAAUUCCGACACGGAUGAAUGUGAAGUCUUCAAGCGCACCUCCAAUAGACUGAGUUCAAGGAAGGAAGAAAAAGAGCAGACAAGUUUUCUUCUCGUACUGGCUUACAAAUCUAAGAUCAUGCAGACGGCAGGGUCCCAAGUAAACCUCUAAAUUUUGAGGACCUCUUUGAUAGAGAAAAAGAGCUACCAAUAAUGUUUGAUAAAAGAAAGAAAAUUUUAUUUCCAGCUGAAAAUUGGGACUUUCUCUUGAUACGUUGCCGCCUGCCUUGAAAUAAAUCUUUUUUUACCAUUUUUCUCAAUAUUUUUACUUUUGUAGCCUGGUACUUCCUCUAUUUUGAUUGAUUAUGCAGGGUGGUUUUGCAUCGGCAAAUACUCAUAAGCUAGUUUUCUAGAAAAAUCGAUGACAUUCCUGUAUUUCAAGAGGUAUGUCUCUACACAUUUCUACUAUUGUAUCGGAUGUAUGAAGCACUUUCAUGCUCAGCCAUGGUAAUGUGUAAUUAGCAGGAAAAAGUAUGUAAUGGAAUUACCGCAAUGAAGUUAUGUAAAUAACCUCUUGAGACCCUAGCAAUAAUAAAUAAUGUGCAUCCUAGUCCAAUUUUCUUUUUUAAAAAAAAUCUAGAACAUCAUAUUGCUGAAAGCUGAGAAGAAAACUUUCUGCCAUCCUUCAAAGGACUCCAUUAGGCAUUAAUACAUAUAUUUAUGUAUUCAGCAUAUAUUUAUUUAUUUAGAAAAUUUUCUUUUUUUCUAUUAAGAAUUAUUCCGUCACAGUGAGUUUAUUAUUGAAUUUUCGUGCAUCGUUAUUUUGUCACUCAUGUACCUAAACUGCCCUGCUAAGCAAAAGCGCUUGUGAAGAAUACAUUUUUAGAGAAAAAUGACUUAAACGCUGGUUCAAUUGCAAAGCAUCUUUUGGACUGGUCUCAUUUUCAUCCUGAUUUUUCUCUUGUUAUUUCACUUGUAACAUUUUUGCAUAAUUUUACUCCCCCAAACACCUACAAUUAUAUAUGAAAAUAAUAGGAGAGGUCUCAAUAAGGGCCUUUUUUGGCCCCUCUAGAAUCUGGAAAUUUACGAGGGUUUUCCAAGUUAGCUCAAUGCAGUUAACAGAAAUAAUCAUGAUUUGGUCCACUGGAUACAUAUUAAACGGUUGCCUAGACAUAGGUCUGCAGACGCAUUUUAGCGGAAAAUGAGUGUUUUUCUAUCACUCCGAGGCUUCUUUGACACCAAGCACAUCGUCUAACUAAAACAAGCUUUUAAUAUGUUAUCAAGGAGGUUUUAGGACACGUUUUAACCCUGGUUUGGUUUUAGCUAGAUGAUGUGCUCAUAGUUAAAAAAAAAACUUUAUCAAAAGUCGACUUUUGAGGGACAUCCGCAAAAAUCUUAGAGAAACAUGUCUCUCCAACUGUAUGAGCUUGGCUAAGUCAAUACUUUUGGUCUCUCUUGGGAACUUUCCGUGCUCUGAUGGGGGAUUAUCCUGUAAAGUGUAAUUAAGUUCAAGUAUUUGAAGAAAAAAAGUUCUAAAAUUUUGAAUGAGCUUUUUGCUAAGUACAGAGUAUAUUACACAGCAAGUUUCAUAUGAAGAAGCUUACUUACUUGAAAAGAAAACAAAACAAUAAUGCAGACUCUAUAAAGCUUUUGUAAUCAACUCAACAGUUCAAGCCUAUGUGGAAGACUAACUAUGAUAAUGGGUUUUUAAUUUGAAGCUGUGCGUGCCUAUCUCUUUAAUUCUUAGAUAAAGAAAAGCUAGCAGUCAAUACUACAAUCUGAUGCCUUAGAAAAUUGUUUCCCUGCUUAGGGGGUGUUUAGUUGUGAUCUAACAGUUGUAGCAUAAAUCACUGAUCACUACCUUGUUCGUGGUUGCUGCUCAACAAAGUUUAUACACAAACUAGAGAGAUCGACUUCAAGUGAUACAUUCACUAGGUGUGCUCACCUCUAUUUUUGAAUAACUACUAUUUAGAAAUAGAAGUAACAAAAAAAAGCUACCUGUAAGAAUGCUUCGUUUGUCCUCGUUAAAAGUGGCUGACUCGACACAUAGUUUCACGCCUGCCCACUGAAUGCAGGGGUGUUCACGGACAACUUCAUUACAGGCGAAGGCAUUUCCUCCUUCUUCAAGUUCCUGAAGAGCAUUUUUCACUGCACCAUUCUUCACAUUAUUGAUGUUGUAAGGGAGAUUUGGACGUUUUGGACGAGGGGACUGAAAAACUCGAGGACUGGCGAUUUUAUUCAGGAUGGCUAUUUGUAGGACCUGCCCUACGAAUUUGUACCUUUCGUCCGCCAAAUUGUGCAUGUUUAAGACUAAGAGUUUGUCAUAAUCAGCUCCCUCAAAAAGGGAUUGAUCGUUUUUAGUUCAUUCAGUAACAAUCUAGGUAAUCUAUUUUAAGAGCGCCGCAAUCUGUUCUCUGAGCUUCACCUGAGAAUGUUACUCUCAAAUCUAUUAAGACGGAAAAGGAAGGCUCUCUGGAUAGAGCAUAGGGUUGUGCUGAAAUGAUGUCCCUGUUAAUUGUCAAUCUCCGCUUUUUUAAAAGCAGCUCAUAAUGCUCCAUGAAAGCUACUGGUGAACUGAGAUUGUGUUGGUUCUGUUCCUUUUUGUUGCUCUUUUUAAGGCUACGUCUUGGUACUUUCUCCAUGAAGACAUCUUCAUUAGAAGAAAGAUAUGGCUUGAUGUAGCCUCCGUAAGGAAGUCAUCAUCAUUGAGUUCGAGCAAGGCUGGAGGAUCAUGUAAAGGCAAUUUAUCUUGAGGCAUUUCAUCUCUUAUUUUUUCUCUUUAUUGAUUAUAUAGAGGACUACAUGGUAUUAACUCUAUUUUUUCUAACUACAGACUAUGAACUAAUUACAAUAUUUUAGUUGGUAGGCUGGUGUGCCAUUGGCCACCGGCCCUAUCUAUGUUACAAACUGUACGGGGCUAUACACUAGGACUAGGAUUAAGAUAAUUGAUCUAAGAUUGAUUUGCUUAAGAUAUUGGAUUAAGAUUUGGAUCACAUCUCUUAUAGUGUAAAAUUGUGUUCGCCCUUCAUCAUCAAUAUAGGAGAAGGUUUGAUUUUAAUCUUUUAUAAUGUCUUGUAUUGGUCUGAUGUAGACAAUGCUUUUUGUAUUCGCACUUAAGAAGGCACCAUCAAUCUCUUCUUCAUCGAGAUUAAAUAGUUUGAAGGAUCUUCCAUUGAAUCUAAUGAACAUAAUUUUAAUGCUUUCGGGCAGAACACUUUUGAAGCACUCGUAGGUUUUGUGUUUCGAAGCCUGGUUUGACCAGCCUCGUUCCAGGUUCCUAUGGUCCAAGACGAAUCCUGUGCUUUCUAGUCUGUCUCUGUCUUCUGACGAGAGUUCAACGGCGGAUGCUUUUCGCAGUAGAAACAUUUUCCUAUAGAAAGGUUU
RNAcentral lists this long non-coding RNA (4628 nucleotides) under Bemisia tabaci. RNAcentral describes it as "lncRNA ENSSSA2NGG007954". Lineage: Eukaryota; Metazoa; Arthropoda; Insecta; Hemiptera; Aleyrodidae. The record is from RNAcentral.